AGCGAACGCUGGCGGCAUGCCUUACACAUGCAAGUCGAACGGCAGCACGGGAGCAAUCCUGGUGGCGAGUGGCGAACGGGUGAGUAAUAUAUCGGAACGUGCCCAGUCGUGGGGGAUAACGUAGCGAAAGCUACGCUAAUACCGCAUACGAUCUAUGGAUGAAAGCGGGGGAUCGCAAGACCUCGCGCGAUUGGAGCGGCCGAUAUCAGAUUAGGUAGUUGGUGAGGUAAAGGCUCACCAAGCCGACGAUCUGUAGCUGGUCUGUGAGGACGACCAGCCACACUGGGACUGAGACACGGCCCAGACUCCUACGGGAGGCAGCAGUGGGGAAUUUUGGACAAUGGGCGCAAGCCUGAUCCAGCAAUGCCGCGUGCAGGAUGAAGGCCUUC
This 389-nucleotide ribosomal RNA is filed under the name uncultured bacterium. Its description in RNAcentral is "bacterial SSU rRNA". It matches the Rfam family "Bacterial small subunit ribosomal RNA", at positions 29 to 419 of the family's 1533-position model. The record is from RNAcentral.